UACGUAGGGCGCAAGCGUUGUCCGGAAUUAUUGGGCGUAAAGAGCUCGUAGGCGGUUUGGCGCGUCUGCUGUGAAAACUCGAGGCUCAACCUCGGGCUUGCAGUGGGUACGGGCAGACUAGAGUGCGGUAGGGGUGACUGGAAUUCCUGGUGUAGCGGUGGAAUGCGCAGAUAUCAGGAGGAACACCGAUGGCGAAGGCAGGUCACUGGGCCGCAACUGACGCUGAGGAGCGAAAGCAUGGGGAGCGAACAGG
Molecule: ribosomal RNA, 253 nt
Filed under: uncultured bacterium
Lineage: Bacteria
Description: partial 16S ribosomal RNA
Rfam family: Bacterial small subunit ribosomal RNA
Source: RNAcentral